AUGGCGCUCCGGCACCUGCUCGCCGUUGCCCUCGCGGCGCUUGCAUUGGACGUGGCGGCGGCGGGCGGAGGUUCCGCAGCGCUCGGGGUGAACUACGGCCAGGUGGCCGACAACCUGCCGUCGCCGCAGGCGGCGGCCGUGCUCCUCCGCGCGCUGAACGCCACCAAGGUCAAGCUCUACGACGCGGACGCGCGCGUGCUCAGCGCGUUCGCCGGCUCCGGCGUGGACUUCACCGUGGGGCUGCCCGACAACAUGGUGCCGCGCCUGGCGUCCGACCCGUCCGCGGCCGCGACCUGGGUCCGCGUCAACAUCCUCCCUCACCUUCCGGCGACGUCCAUCACCGCCGUCACCGUCGGCAACGAGGUGCUGACGGGCAGCGACGCCACCAUGCUCCGCUCCCUCCUCCCGGCCAUGCAGUCGCUCCACGCGGCGCUGGCCGCGUGCAACCUCACCUCCCGGGUCGCGGUCACCACCGCGCACUCCCUCGCCGUGCUCUCCUCCUCCUUCCCGCCCUCCUCCGCCGCGUUCCGGCACGACCUCCUCCCCUACAUCACGCCGCUGCUCGCCUUCCUUGCCAAGACCGGCUCGCCGUUCCUCGUGAACGCGUACCCCUACUUCGCGUACAAGGCCGACCCGGGCACGGUGGACCUGGACUACGUGCUGUUCGAGGCCAACGCCGCUCCCGUGGUGGACUCCGCCACGGGGCUGCGGUACGGCAACAUGCUGCACGCGCAGGUGGACGCCGUGCGCGCCGCGAUCUGUGCCGCGGACUACGGGAGGGCGGUGGAGAUUCGGGUGUCGGAGACCGGGUGGCCGUCGCAGGGGGACGGCGACGAGGCCGGCGCCACGCCGCAGAACGCGGCCAGGUACAACGGCAACCUGAUGCGGCUGGUGGCGCAGGGGAAGGGCACGCCGGCGGCGCCCGGGGAGCCGCUGCAGGUGUACGUGUUCGCGCUCUUCAACGAGGACCAGAAGCCCGGGCCGGCCUCCGAGCGGCACUACGGCCUGUUCAAGCCGGACGGCACGCCGGCGUACGACGUCGGCGUCAAGGCGCCGACGAUCAAAGGCUUGAAGGGGAGCGGCAAUCGGGACGGCGGCGGCAGCGGAAACAGCACGGAUAGUGGCGUCGGGAUGGUGGUGGGGGAAGGGCCCGCCGGGACGGACGGGUUCGCCGUCGGCCCGGGCGGACUCUACACCAUUUCUGAUGCGACGCGCAAGGUGAGGAGGUGGCGGUGGACGGAAAGCUUUGCGGCUAUGGCCGCCGUUCUGGCGAUGGUGUCGUGGUCAUGA
RNAcentral lists this ribosomal RNA (1290 nucleotides) under Triticum aestivum (bread wheat). RNAcentral describes it as "partial small subunit ribosomal RNA". The record is from RNAcentral. Lineage: Eukaryota; Viridiplantae; Streptophyta; Magnoliopsida; Poales; Poaceae.